Oncorhynchus tshawytscha (Chinook salmon) is the source of this 428-nucleotide long non-coding RNA. The record is from Ensembl. Lineage: Eukaryota; Metazoa; Chordata; Actinopteri; Salmoniformes; Salmonidae.
GUUAGGUUAGGAAGGUGGUUCUUUUACGCCUGCUACGUUAGGUUAGGAAGGUUGUUCUUUUACGCCUGCUACGUUAGGUUAGGAAGGUGGUUCUUUUACGCCUGCUACGUUAGGUUAGGAAGGUGGUUCUUUUACGCCUGCUACGUUAGGUUAGGAAGGUGGUUCUUUUAUGCCUGCUACGUUAGGUUAGGAAGGUGGUUCUUUUACGCCUGCUACGUUAGGUUAGGAAGGUUGUUCUUUUACGCCUGCUACGUUAGGUUAGGAAGGUGGUUCUUUUACGCCUGCUACGUUAGGAAGGUGGUUCUUUUACGCCUGCUAAGUUAGGGAGGUGUAGAUGAGCUACGUUGGGGAGGUGUAGAUGAGCUACGUUGGGGAGGUGUAGAUGAGCUACGUUGGGGAGGUGUAGAUGAGCUACGUUGGGGAGGUGU